This 594-nucleotide ribosomal RNA is filed under the name uncultured Lachnospiraceae bacterium. RNAcentral's name for it is "bacterial SSU rRNA". It matches the Rfam family "Bacterial small subunit ribosomal RNA", at positions 49 to 644 of the family's 1533-position model. Lineage: Bacteria; Bacillati; Bacillota; Clostridia; Lachnospirales; Lachnospiraceae. The record is from RNAcentral.
UAACACAUGCAAGUCGAACGGGAAUUACUUUAUUGAAACUUCGGUCGAUUUAAUUUAAUUCUAGUGGCGGACGGGUGAGUAACGCGUGGGUAACCUGCCUUAUACAGGGGGAUAACAGUCAGAAAUGGCUGCUAAUACCGCAUAAGCGCACAGAGCUGCAUGGCUCGGUGUGAAAAACUCCGGUGGUAUAAGAUGGACCCGCGUUGGAUUAGCUAGUUGGUGGGGUAACGGCCCACCAAGGCGACGAUCCAUAGCCGGCCUGAGAGGGUGAACGGCCACAUUGGGACUGAGACACGGCCCAGACUCCUACGGGAGGCAGCAGUGGGGAAUAUUGCACAAUGGGGGAAACCCUGAUGCAGCGACGCCGCGUGAAGGAAGAAGUAUCUCGGUAUGUAAACUUCUAUCAGCAGGGAAGAUAGUGACGGUACCUGACUAAGAAGCCCCGGCUAACUACGUGCCAGCAGCCGCGGUAAUACGUANGGGGCAAGCGUUAUCCGGAUUUACUGGGUGUAAAGGGAGCGUAGACGGUGUGGCAAGUCUGAUGUGAAAGGCAUGGGCUCAGCCUGUGGACUGCAUUGGAAACUGUCAUACUUG